RNAcentral lists this small RNA (129 nucleotides) under uncultured Ureibacillus sp. RNAcentral's name for it is "Ribosomal protein L10 leader". It matches the Rfam family "Ribosomal protein L10 leader", at positions 12 to 133 of the family's 138-position model. Rfam says of the family: This family is a putative r-protein leader autoregulatory structure found in B. subtilis and other low-GC Gram-positive bacteria. It is located in the 5' untranslated regions of mRNAs encoding ribosomal proteins L10 and L12 (rplJ-rplL). A Rho-independent transcription terminator structure that is probably involved in regulation is included at the 3' end. The record is from RNAcentral. Lineage: Bacteria; Bacillati; Bacillota; Bacilli; Caryophanales; Caryophanaceae.
UCCAUUUGUACCGUAGACAGUAGGGGUGCUUGCACUUAAUUAUCCUACCGAGGACAUCGAAAUCGGAUUCUUUUUAGAUGAUGAAUUUUCCGCCUCUAGUCUACUUUUCGACUAGAGGCUUUUCUUUUG